AGAGUUUGAUCCUGGCUCAGAGCGAACGCUGGCGGCGUGCUUAACACAUGCAAGUCGAACGGGUGUAGCAAUACAUCCGUGGCGAACGGGUGCGUAACACGUGGAUAACCUUCCUUCAGGUGGGGAAUAACCCAGUGAAAAUUGGGCUAAUACCGCAUAACAAGACGAGGGCACAUGCUCUUGUCUUCAAAGGCGCAAGUCGCCGGAAGAGGGAUCCGCGGCCGAUUAGCUAGUUGGCGGGGUAACGGCCCACCAAGGCAUUGAUCGGUAGCCGGACUGAGAGGUUGGCCGGCCACACUGGAACUGAGACACGGUCCAGACUCCUACGGGAGGCAGCAGUGGGGAAUCUUGCACAAUGGGCGAAAGCCUGAUGCAGCAACGCCGCGUGGGGGAUGAAGCUUCUCGGAGUGUAAACCCCUUUCGACCCGGACGAAUGCCCGCAAGGGCUUGACGGUACGGGUAUAAGAAGCCCCGGCUAACUACGUGCCAGCAGCCGCGGUAAAACGUAGGGGGCCAGCGUUGCUCGGAAUUACUGGGCGUAAAGGGUCCGUAGGCGGUGUGGCAAGUCGGUAGUGAAAGCUCUGGGCUUAACCCAGAGACUGCUGCCGAAACUGCUGUGCUAGAGUGUGAGAGAGGCGAGUGGAAUUACGGGUGUAGCGGUGAAAUGCGUAGAUAUCCGUAGGAACAUCCGAGGCGAAAGCGGCUCGCUGGAUCACAACUGACGCUGAGGGACGAAAGCUAGGGGAGCAAACAGGAUUAGAUACCCUGGNAGUCCUAGCCCUAAACCAUCAGGACUUGGGGGUUUGCCCUGUACGGGGCAAGUCCCGUAGCUAACGCGUUAAGUCCUGCGCCUGGGGAGUACGG
This 864-nucleotide ribosomal RNA is filed under the name uncultured bacterium. RNAcentral's name for it is "bacterial SSU rRNA". It matches the Rfam family "Bacterial small subunit ribosomal RNA", at positions 8 to 885 of the family's 1533-position model. The record is from RNAcentral.